Molecule: ribosomal RNA, 403 nt
Filed under: uncultured bacterium
Lineage: Bacteria
Description: bacterial SSU rRNA
Rfam family: Bacterial small subunit ribosomal RNA
Source: RNAcentral
AUAUUGGACAAUGGGCGAAAGCCUGAUCCAGCAACGCCGCGUGAGGGAUGACGGCCUUCGGGUUGUAAACCUCUUUCAGCAGGGACGAAGCGCAAGUGACGGUACCUGCAGAAGAAGCACCGGCCAACUACGUGCCAGCAGCCGCGGUAAUACGUAGGGUGCGAGCGUUGUCCGGAAUUAUUGGGCGUAAAGGGCUCGUAGGCGGUCUGUUGCGUCUGGAGUGAAAACUCAGGGCUUAACCCUGAGCCUGCUUCCGAUACGGGCAGACUAGAGGUAUGCAGGGGAGAACGGAAUUCCUGGUGUAGCGGUGAAAUGCGCAGAUAUCAGGAGGAACACCGGUGGCGAAGGCGGUUCUCUGGGCAUUACCUGACGCUGAGGAGCGAAAGUGUGGGGAGCGAACAGG